Molecule: long non-coding RNA, 368 nt
Filed under: Equus caballus (horse)
Lineage: Eukaryota; Metazoa; Chordata; Mammalia; Perissodactyla; Equidae
Description: lncRNA (ENSECAG00000036280.3)
Source: RNAcentral
GCAGGAGGGGGCUAGGAGCCUUCCUCCCUCAUGAGAGGCUUGCCUGCCUUCAAAGAGCUGGGUCCCCGUGGAAGGCAGGGUGCCCGGGUGUCCCGCCUUUCGUCACUCUUCAGUGUGUGGUUGGGAAGGAAGCAGACGGCCACUGUCCACUGAACACCUCCUCUGUGUCAGGCAUGCUCAGCACGGAAAACAUUCCAUAGGCGGAGAAUUGUUAACUGGCCCGCAGCAGCAGCAGCAGCAGGGGACGAGGUUUUGGUUCCGAUUUGCAACGUCUUCCAGAUGGGAGCUUUGUGUGUGAGUUUUGAGGAGUUUGGAAAGUUUGAUUUAAACACUUGCACGAUUGUCCUGUGGGAACAAACCACUUCGAG